CAGUCGAGGGGUAACAUGGGUAGCAAUACCUGAUGACGACUGGCAAACGGGUGCGGAACACGUACGCAACCUUCCCAUAACUGGUGAAUAGCCUUCCGAAAGGGAGAUUAAUACACCGUAACAUAACGAAGUGGCAUCACUUUGUUAUUAUAGGCUUCGGCCGGUUUUGGAUGGGCGUGCGCCUGAUUAGGUAGUUGGCGGGGUAACGGCCCACCAAGCCUGCGAUCAGUAACUGGUGUGAGAGCACGACCAGUCACACGGGCACUGAGACACGGGCCCGACUCCUACGGGAGGCAGCAGUAAGGAAUAUUGGUCAAUGGACGAAAGUCUGAACCAGCCAUGCCGCGUGAAGGAUGAAGGCCCUCUGGGUUGUAAACUUCUUUUAUCUGGGACGAAAAAAGCUCAUUCUUGAGCACUUGACGGUACCAGAGGAAUAAGCACCGGCUAACUCCGUGCCAGCAGCCGCGGUAAUACGGAGGGUCCAAGCGUUAUCCGGAUUCACUGGGUUUAAAGGGUGCGUAGGUGGGUCUGUAAGUCAGUGGUGAAAUCUCCGAGCUUAACUCGGAAACUGCCAUUGAUACUAUAGAUCUUGAAUCAUCUGGAGGUAAGCGGAAUAUGUCAUGUAGCGGUGAAAUGCUUAGAUAUGACAUAGAACACCGAUUGCGAAGGCAGCUGGCUACACAAGCAUUGACGCUGAGGCACGAAAGCGUGGGGAUCAAACAGGAUUAGAUACCCUGGUAGUCCACGCCCUAAACUAUGGAUACUCGACAUUUGCGAUACACAGUAAGUGUCUGAGCGAAAGCAUUAAGUAUCC
This 814-nucleotide ribosomal RNA is filed under the name uncultured bacterium. Its description in RNAcentral is "bacterial SSU rRNA". It matches the Rfam family "Bacterial small subunit ribosomal RNA", at positions 59 to 869 of the family's 1533-position model. The record is from RNAcentral.